Molecule: ribosomal RNA, 542 nt
Filed under: uncultured bacterium
Lineage: Bacteria
Description: bacterial SSU rRNA
Rfam family: Bacterial small subunit ribosomal RNA
Source: RNAcentral
GUUUGAUCCUGGCUCAGGACGAACGCUGGCGGCGUGCCUAAUACAUGCAAGUCGAGCGAAUGAUAGGGAGCUUGCUCCCUUGAUUUAGCGGCGGACGGGUGAGUAACACGUGGGCAACCUACCUGUAAGACUGGGAUAACUUCGGGAAACCGGAGCUAAUACCGGAUAAUUUCUUUUCUCGCAUGAGAAGAGAUGGAAAGACGGUUUCGGCUGUCACUUACAGAUGGGCCCGCGGCGCAUUAGCUAGUUGGUGAGGUAAUGGCUCACCAAGGCCACGAUGCGUAGCCGACCUGAGAGGGUGAUCGGCCACACUGGGACUGAGACACGGCCCAGACUCCUACGGAAGGCAGCAGUAGGGAAUCUUCCGCAAUGGACGAAAGUCUGACGGAGCAACGCCGCGUGAACGAAGAAGGCUCUCGGGUCGUAAAGUUCUGUUGUUAGGGAAGAACAAGUACCAGAGUAACUGCUGGUACCUUGACGGUACCUAACCAGAAAGCCACGGCUAACUACGUGCCAGCAGCCGCGGUAAUCCCUUGUGUGAA